This 253-nucleotide ribosomal RNA is filed under the name uncultured bacterium. Its description in RNAcentral is "partial 16S ribosomal RNA". It matches the Rfam family "Bacterial small subunit ribosomal RNA", at positions 524 to 776 of the family's 1533-position model. The record is from RNAcentral.
UACGGGGGGGGCAAGCGUUGUUCGGAAUUACUGGGCUUAAAGAGUUCGUAGGCGGCGCAGAAAGUAGGGUGUGAAAGCCCUCGGCUCAACCGAGGAAUUGCGCUCUAAACUACUGUGCUUGAGGAAGCUAGAGGUGAGCGGAACUGAUGGUGGAGCGGUGAAAUGCGUUGAUAUCAUCAGGAACACCGGAGGCGAAGGCGGCUCACUGGGGCUUUUCUGACGCUGAGGAACGAAAGCCAGGGGAGCGAACGGG